GGGCGCGUAGCAUAGCUAGGUGGCGCGCCCGGCUGAUAACCGGGAGGUCAUGAGAUCGAAUCUCAUCGUGCCCA
This 74-nucleotide transfer RNA is filed under the name Candidatus Methanocorpusculum equi. RNAcentral's name for it is "tRNA-Ile". It matches the Rfam family "tRNA". Rfam says of the family: Transfer RNA (tRNA) molecules are approximately 80 nucleotides in length. Their secondary structure includes four short double-helical elements and three loops (D, anti-codon, and T loops). Further hydrogen bonds mediate the characteristic L-shaped molecular structure. tRNAs have two regions of fundamental functional importance: the anti-codon, which is responsible for specific mRNA codon recognition, and the 3' end, to which the tRNAs corresponding amino acid is attached (by aminoacyl-tRNA synthetases). tRNAs cope with the degeneracy of the genetic code in two manners: having more than one tRNA (with a specific anti-codon) for a particular amino acid; and 'wobble' base-pairing, i.e. permitting non-standard base-pairing at the 3rd anti-codon position. The record is from RNAcentral. Lineage: Archaea; Methanobacteriati; Methanobacteriota; Methanomicrobia; Methanomicrobiales; Methanocorpusculaceae.